CGAGAUCUGUACACACAUGAUAGUCUAAGCAGAGCUCUGCUGGCAAUUUUUUCACCCUGUAGUGUCACCCAUCUCCUCUGAUUUUAUCAGGAUCCAGGAACACCUACAGCAGCGGCUUCUUGAGAUUUGUCAGCUCCAGUGCCAACAUCACUUGUUGUUUCCAUUCCUGUAACCACUACCCAAAACCAGAUUGAGAAUAAAUGCUGCCAUAACCCUGGACACGCUCCCUCUGGCCCCAGUCAUUCGAUGCCAGCGCAGCCCAGGUCUUAGGACGAGAAGAUUGAGUUCCUCAAGGUCCUCAUUUCACACUGAUCUUUAGUGACCUGCCAGGACCCUUCCGUGGUUCACUGAUUGAUUUCCUUUAAUCCCCUGCUCUCCACUCCUACAACAAAACCUUCCAUCCUUGCAAGAAUUCUAGUGUAUCUUUUUGUUUGAAUGUGUUUUUAAAAAAUUUGUCUGUUGUUUCAACAAAUUUUUAUUAACGUUUGAUGAGUUUUUACACAAAUGGU
This is a non-coding RNA of Sus scrofa (pig), 509 nucleotides long. Lineage: Eukaryota; Metazoa; Chordata; Mammalia; Artiodactyla; Suidae. The record is from RefSeq and is a predicted model, not a curated record.